This is a long non-coding RNA of Tyto alba (common barn owl), 923 nucleotides long. RefSeq lists it as uncharacterized. The transcript has 3 exons. The record is from RefSeq and is a predicted model, not a curated record. NCBI's taxonomy places the organism in Eukaryota, Metazoa, Chordata, Aves, Strigiformes, Tytonidae.
GCAUGCGCGGUGCUAAGGGCUGGCAUGGCGGUUGCGGGCGUUCGCCGAGGUUCGCUCCGGGUCGCGGCCCGGCGAUAUCCACACACACACCCCCCCCCCCCCCCCCCCCCCCCGCCCCGGUACGGAGCCCUUGCCGCCCGUCCUUCAGUGCCACCGGGCGCGGGAGCCGCCGCCCCGCCGCGGAACAGCGAGGUUGGAGCGGUCCCGGGCCUCCUGCCAGGCCAGCGCUGCCUGAGGGGACUGGGGGGGGGGGGGGGCGGCGGCGGCGGCGCAGCUGAGCACCCGCGCGGUGUGGGGGAUCCCUGCGUGGAACCAGGCGACUCCGCAAGCUGCUAGGGGACAGUUGGCAGCAAACGUCUGCCUGCCUGCCGGUUGGGCCCAUCGGGGACGGUCGCUUCCCGGGCAUGGGUCUGUGGUGAUGCUCGGCUUCUGUUAGAGCCUCAGAGAAAGCAGAGCUCAGCUGAUGCUGGACAAAGAGGGAUCGUCUCUCUGUGAAGCUGCUGCACGUAUUUGCUGGCUGCUCCCCAAAACUCUCAGGAGAAUCCAGAAAUGGGAACUGAUGUUCACAGUGCUAAAUAAAGGUGCAGGAUUUCAUUUGCAGUCUUGAAUGCUGCAUCGCUGCUCUCGGCUCUGCUUCCUGCCGCCAGCUGCCAGGACUAAUCACUUAUGGAGCUGAACCCUCUCUAAGGCCUUUGCAGGAGAGCAGGGCUGGUCAGGGAGGGGGAGGAGGAGCUUCUGCCAGCACCAGGUCUGGUACCGGAGCCUUGAAACUCCCCGCUGUGUGCCCGUGUCCCUGCAGGUGUCAGAGCUGCCCGGGCUGAGCCGGAGCCCCGUAUGCAAUCAGUGAGUUGUUGGGAAAAUGUUGCAAUGCAGUGCUGCUGCACAAGCUGUUCUAUCAGCUCUGUCCCCUGUAUGGCCCCAGC